CCCUUAGAUGUUCUGGGCCGCACGCGCGCUACACUGAUGAAUUCAACGAGCUCCUAACCUAGGCCGAAGGGUCCGGGUAAUCUUUGAAAUUUCAUCGUGAUGGGGAUAGAUUAUUGCAACUAUUAAUCUUCAACGAGGAAUUCCUAGUAAGCGCGAGUCAUCAGCUCGCGUUGAUUACGUCCCUGCCCUUUGUACACACCGCCCGUCGCUCCUACCGAUUGAAUGGUCCGGUGAAAUGUUCGGACCGCGACAAGGCGGACGGUUCGCUGUCAGCUUUGCUGCGGGAAGUUCAUUAAACCUUAUCAUUUAGAGGAAGGAGAAGUCGUANCA
This 330-nucleotide ribosomal RNA is filed under the name uncultured eukaryote. RNAcentral's name for it is "partial 18S ribosomal RNA". It matches the Rfam family "Eukaryotic small subunit ribosomal RNA", at positions 1470 to 1796 of the family's 1831-position model. The record is from RNAcentral.